RNAcentral lists this ribosomal RNA (389 nucleotides) under Clostridioides difficile. RNAcentral's name for it is "bacterial LSU rRNA". It matches the Rfam family "Bacterial large subunit ribosomal RNA", at positions 268 to 660 of the family's 2925-position model. The record is from RNAcentral. Lineage: Bacteria; Bacillati; Bacillota; Clostridia; Peptostreptococcales; Peptostreptococcaceae.
CCCAAACCAAUAAAGUUUUCUUUAUUGGGGUUGCGGACAUAUCAUAACGAAGAGGUAUCGUAAUUGAAGAGGUUUGGAAAGACCCACCACAGAAGGUAAUAGUCCUGUAUGUUAAACGAGAAGACUUUAGAUAUGAUCCAGAGUACCACGGGACACGUGAAACCCUGUGGGAAGCAGGAGGGACCACCCUCCAAGGCUAAAUACUACCUAGUGACCGAUAGCGUAGAGUACCGUGAGGGAAAGGUGAAAAGAACCCCGGGAGGGGAGUGAAAUAGAACCUGAAACCCUGCACUUACAAGCUGUGGAAGCACAUUUCUUGUGUGACCGCGUACUUUUUGUAGAACGGGCCAACGAGUUACGUUAAGUAGCAAGGUUAAGCACUUAAGGUG